GAUAAAAUGCCUGAUUAAAGGGUCAUCUUGAUAGGGUGAAUCAAGUACUAUAGGUACUUUUAUUA
RNAcentral lists this transfer RNA (65 nucleotides) under Ornithodoros tartakovskyi. RNAcentral's name for it is "tRNA-Ile". Lineage: Eukaryota; Metazoa; Arthropoda; Arachnida; Ixodida; Argasidae. The record is from RNAcentral.